RNAcentral lists this transfer RNA (91 nucleotides) under Rhodocyclaceae bacterium. RNAcentral describes it as "tRNA-Ser". It matches the Rfam family "tRNA". Rfam says of the family: Transfer RNA (tRNA) molecules are approximately 80 nucleotides in length. Their secondary structure includes four short double-helical elements and three loops (D, anti-codon, and T loops). The record is from RNAcentral. Lineage: Bacteria; Pseudomonadati; Pseudomonadota; Betaproteobacteria; Rhodocyclales; Rhodocyclaceae.
GGAGAGGUGGAUGAGUGGUUUAAGUCGCACGCCUGGAAAGCGUGUUUGGGAUAAUAUCCCAACGCGUGUUCUAAUCCCGCCCUCUCCGCCA